Molecule: non-coding RNA, 109 nt
Organism: Acanthosepion pharaonis
Lineage: Eukaryota; Metazoa; Mollusca; Cephalopoda; Sepiida; Sepiidae
Source: the annotation of a GenBank genome assembly
UGGCUACAUCAUGUUGAAACACCAGUUCCCUUAUGAUCACCGAAGUUAAGCAAUGUCAAGCCUGGUCAGUACCUGGAAAGGUGACUAUUUGGGGAUACUAGGUGCUAUA